Nematostella vectensis (starlet sea anemone) is the source of this 3510-nucleotide RNA transcript. It is a transcript of the gene named Golgi-associated plant pathogenesis-related protein 1-like, with no coding region annotated. Lineage: Eukaryota; Metazoa; Cnidaria; Anthozoa; Actiniaria; Edwardsiidae. The record is from RefSeq and is a predicted model, not a curated record. The transcript has 3 exons.
GACGUCUCAGUCUACUUACAUAAAAUUGAAUAUCUAAUUAUUUUUCAUAAGCCAUUUAAAUGGAAACGUUUGUUAAAUCCAACUAUUUCGUUCGAUUAUUGUGAGCUAAUACGUAAGGACUUUAACCAUGUCUUCUCCUCCAAGCACGUUCAAUCACUCGUUGAUCAGCAAUGGAACCAACCGUUCGUCAACUGAACGAUCCUCUGCAUCCAUCCACCAAGAGGUUUGGCUCGUGUCACUUCUGCUUGUAGUUAUUAUCGGUCUGAGUCUUAAUCUUUCCGUCAUCUCACUCGUGAUGAUGAAAAAAGUGCCGCGAAGGAACAUGAAUCUUUUGGUCGCUAACAUGGCAUUCAGCGACUUUUUAUCACUUCUACUGGAGCCUUCGUCUCUUCUGUCCCAAAUGACGGGAAACUCGCCAUGGAUUGGGGUUAGUUAUCUGGCAGAUGUGACUUGUAAGUUGUACACAUUCACGAUGAACACAUCCACAUGGGUUUCCCUUGUGACACUUUUGGUUAUCUCCGUGGAGAGGUUCCGAGCAGUGUCAUCCGUUGUACAUGUGACGGAAAAACGCAGCGUUCUCAUUAUCCUGCUACUUGUGUCCUGGGUUUUACCUGGACUGCUUAACUCUAGUACUUUUGCUUUCUGCGCGGCUAAUAACAUCGGAGGGACAUUUCAAUGCUUGUGCGUCUUUACAAUGCAGUCAGCGAUCUAUGCUGUUGCUGCAAAUGUAAUCUUCGUAUUAUUGGUGAUCGUAAUUCUCUGUCUCAAUUUUGCAAUUAUACGUAAACUUGUUCGCUCUCAAGUGGCGAUACACAUCCCAGAGGCUCAGCAACAAAAGCGAGCUCGAAGGUUUCGCUCUGCGACGCGCAUGGUCAUAACUUCUCUUUUACUGUUUGUACUCUGUGCGACCCCCCUCUACAUAGUGCUCACAAUCUUUAGAAUGCAGUUUUUAUUGGGAGUUCCAAUUCUUAGUGAGUGGAGCGGGAAUAUGAUUAAUGCAGUAACUGUUCUGUUUUUUGUUAAUCCUGCCGCUAGCCCGAUCAUCUACUUUGUAUUUCUCGGCGACUUUAGAAAAGUGUUACGCAAGUUUUGCUGCAGAAAGAAGGUUAUUGGUCAACCGAAUGCGGAACCGGGAUUACCACUUACUUAAUGAGGAACCGGAAGAACUACACUCUUGAUGUGGAACCGGAUGAACUACACAUUUAAUUAUUGUCCUUCGGGAAAAACUGUCCGUGAACAAAUCUGAAAUAGGGUUGGGAACUGUUGAGGAGUUCAGAAACCGAAGGUCUCUUAUAAGUGCUAAUGCCUAAAGGUGAACAUCGCACUAAAAAAUGAACUUAUCACUUUGGAAAUCAGACUUUUGGAACCUUCUCGUGUGCGACUUCCAGUUUGUCCUUACCUGUUUGAAUUAUUUUUUCUCGUCUUAUUAAAAAGACCAGAUCCUAUUCGUUGCAGCCCGAACUGCCAAUUGUUCUUUUAAAUCAUAUAAUAUAUGGUAAAUGAGGUAGAAAACUUUAGUCGAACAUUACUUCAAAUCAACUACAUUUCCUUCCACUUCCUUCUUAUUUGAAUCGUUUUAUUAUUUUCAUGACAUGACGCUGCAAAUAAGCCCAUUUCACAUCUAAUAAGGCAUAAAAUUUCACUGAGUGCUUAGCUAGUAAUAGCAAACACAGUAUCAAACGCGACAUUGAUGCGACUGAUGCGACUUUUUGUAAAGAGUUUUUGAAAUUUUCGUCCAUGAGCCCAUGCAUAGCGCAAGGAUGAUCAAUGUAAAUAUAUUUUAAAAAGCCAAAAUCUGGGUAUGUGCAUUUCGGCCUCACGUUAUUUGUGUUUCCAGAAUACAAGGAACCGAUGCCCAUAGUAAGAAAUCAAGUCUUUUUCAUCCAUCUCGAAUUGCGCUUUUCCUGGUUUUUCCGUCAUGUCUAUUUUAAUCCAUUUGAAGUAAUAACGCCCAGUCUGCGACGAAAAUGUUAAGCAUUCAUCUGGACAGUUGAGCAUACAAUUGGGCAGGAUGAAGAAGAUAUUUCUAGCGCACGGUGCAACAUUUGUCACAAUCGUAAUUAUUUCGCUGAUGCUGUAUAGAAACAGAUUUGCUAAGUAGGAUGGACGUCUCAGUCCACUUACAUAAAAUUGAAUAUUUAAUUAUUUUUCAUAAGCCAUUGGCAUGGAAACGUUUGUCAAAUCCAACCAUUUCGUUCGAUUAUUGUUAAGCCUUCUGCGUUAGGACUUUAACCAUGUCGUCUCCUCCAAGCAUGUUCAAUCACUCGCUGAUCAGCAAUGGAACCAACACUUCGUCAACUGAACGAUCCUCGGCAUCCAUCCACCAAGAGGUUCGACUUUACUCUUAAUGAGAAACCGGAUGAACUACACAUUUGUAGUACUACUCAAUGAGGAACAGGAAGAACUACACACUUAAUGCGGAACCGGAAGUACCAAUCAAUAAGGAACCGGAAGAACUACACAAUGUGGAACCGGAAGAACCACUCAAUAAGAAACCGGAAGAACUAUACUCUUAAUAAGGAACCGGAUGAGCUACACAUUUAAUUAAUGUCCUUCGGGAAAAACACUUUGUAUUCAUACUGAAAAUCAAAAUCAAGUUAGCUUUUACCCUUCAGUUCUACAUGAGAUUUCUGUUCUCAUUGAACCUCAAAAUUAGCAUUUUUUUGCAAUAUAUCAUAAUAUAAUAAUAAACAUUAGCGCGUGAAAAUGUAUGCAUAGUCACUGUUGUAUUUACGAGGCGCACAUCAAAAAUACCACGGAAAACUAUGGAAAACUUGUUUUUCACAAACGUAAAAUAAUAGUAGGGGCGGGUUCUUUGCUUAAAAUUCAUAAAGUGCAAACAUGAUUUCUGAUUGGGAGAAAUUCAUCCUUUCAUCAAAACCUUCGUUAAAGUGCAAACGGUCCACAUGAGAGAAUUUUGCGAAUGACGAAACCUUCUGAUUUAUCAAAGCUGACAACCAAUAAGAAAUCGAGAUUACGUGCAAGUAUUGUUUAAGCUGCAUUUGGAGUGAGUUGCCUAGCGGAGCAUAAUAAAUACCGCGAGAGGCACGGCGCUCCCCCUCUAGUGUGGGACGGUACCCUUGAGGCUCAUGCCAAGGCCUGGGCCAAGAAACUCAGCUCCGGUCGCCUCCCCCCUGGGGUGUUCCAUGACAUGAGGAGCCGUGAGGGUGAGAACAUCGCCAUAAUAUCAGAGCCGACGUGCGAAGAGGCGCUUAGCAUGUGGAUGGACGAGUUCAUAGAUUACAAGGAUGAAGGAUAUUGCGCCAACCCCCCAAGACUACCCCCCUAUCACCUCAUGCAUUUCACACAAGUCACGUGGAAGGCGACCCGUCGGCUCGGGGUGGCUGUGUCAGGGAACUGGCUGGUGGCGCGCUACUCACCCUCGGGGAACUGGGGCGGACAGUUUGGCAGGAACGUUGAGUGCUAGAGAACUGUUGCGUCAAAAUGUUUUUAUCGAUGUAUUUGUCCAUUCAAAAAGAUCUCAAAAGUAAUAAAGCUAUCAAAAUAUUA